AGAUUUUCCUCCAUUGAUGCAUCAAAGGAAGACUGUGGCCCUAAGUUCAAAAACUCAUGGUUUAAUCAUGAUAAUAUCGUUACUUGUUCCCGUGAUGGUAGUGCAAUCAUAUGGAUCCCGAGAUCACGUAGAUCACAUGGAAAGGGUGGACGUUGGCAGAAAGCGUAUCAUUUGAAAGUUCCACCACCGCCAAUGCCACCUCAACCUCCUCGAGGCGGUCCACGUCAAAGAAUU
This 234-nucleotide unclassified non-coding RNA is filed under the name Hevea brasiliensis (rubber tree). The record is from RNAcentral. Lineage: Eukaryota; Viridiplantae; Streptophyta; Magnoliopsida; Malpighiales; Euphorbiaceae.